This 442-nucleotide ribosomal RNA is filed under the name uncultured bacterium. Its description in RNAcentral is "partial 16S ribosomal RNA". It matches the Rfam family "Bacterial small subunit ribosomal RNA", at positions 338 to 795 of the family's 1533-position model. The record is from RNAcentral.
CCUACGGGGGGCAGCAGUAGGGAAUCUUUCACAAUGGGUGAAAGCCUGAUGGAGCAACGCCGCGUGCAGGAUGAAGGCCUUCGGGUUGUAAACUGCUUUUAUAAGCGAGAAAUAUGAUGGUAACUUAUGAAUAAGGAUCGGCUAACUACGUUCCAGCAGCCGCGGUCAUACGUAGGAUCCGAGCAUUAUCCGGAGUGACUGGGUGUAAAGAGUUGCGUAGGUGGCAUAAUAAGUAGCUAGUGAAAUCUGGUGGCUCAACCAUUCAGACUAUUAGCUAAACUGUUAAGCUCGAGACCGUUAGGGGUAACUGGAAUUUCUAGUGUAGGAGUGAAAUCCGUAGAUAUUAGAAGGAACACCAAUAGCGUAGGCAGGUUGCUGGGACGGUUCUGACACUAAGGCACGAAAGCGUAGGGAGCAAACGGGAUUAGAUACCCCGGUAGUC